CUCAAUGAAAGAGGGGACAUGGGCAAGUAAAUGGUUCAUGAGUAGUGUACUUGAUCCUGUAGUUGACACUCCCAGUUUUAUGUUUGAAAUCUAUUUUUAUGAUAAUCGAGCCACAAGAUAAAAGGCUAAUUCUCCAAAGUAUAGUCACAUAAGCAUUCUUGAUGUAAGGAUCACUUGUAGAGCUAUAGUGAGUUUUAUUGUUCCACAUAGGAGUUUUGAUCUUUUUUUUCUAUGCUAUAUAAUAUGUGAUCACAAUCGUAAAUGUCAUUGAUAUCUCUUGUGCGCAUAAGAUUUUAAAGUACAAAGAUUACGUGAUCACUUAGUAAAGGUAAUAAAAGUCAAAUGUAUCAUUAGAAGAAGCUAUGUGUACAUGAUCAUAGUGACAUCAUCCCAGGGGCUACUAGCCUAGCUUGGGUCAUGGAUGGUGACAUUAUGCCAGGGGCCAUUGUUUCCGAACUCGUGUUAAUAUAAUUGCACCCUCGCAGGGGCCAAAGAUCAUAGCUGGGGUCAUGAUUAUUGAUACACCAUCCCUGGGGAAAUGAGUCUAGCUCGGGUCAUAUUCAUGCCACAUUUAGUUGGCCGUUUACUUUGGAUUCUAUCGAGGCUAAUUCUAUACCGUUCAUGAGACAUUGUACAUGCUUACAGAUAUGGUAUAGAUUGACUAAGGCAGAGGUACUCCAGUUAGUAGACCUCCACUAGAAUAGAGUACAUGGCGUACUUGGCUAUCUUGGAUAAGCUCCAUAAUGUUUGGGGCCUUACCGAGUCAUGUAUAUAUGUUUUGGUAUUGUAUAAGGAUUAAGGGUAAGGCGGGACCCUGUCCUGUCCUAAGUAUUUUUCAUAUAUAUAUAGUAGAGUCUUUGUAGACCUACGUUAAGGUAUGGCACAGUUACAACUUGACCCUUAAUAGGCAUAGCCUCGACGGUUAGUAUUAUAUGUACACGUUUUGGGCUUAUCUUAUGGGUCAUUAGAAUAAAGUAUUUCUGCUCUUACUUGGUA
Non-coding RNA from Nicotiana tabacum (common tobacco), 996 nucleotides. The record is from RefSeq and is a predicted model, not a curated record. NCBI's taxonomy places the organism in Eukaryota, Viridiplantae, Streptophyta, Magnoliopsida, Solanales, Solanaceae.